Molecule: ribosomal RNA, 513 nt
Filed under: uncultured bacterium
Lineage: Bacteria
Description: partial 16S ribosomal RNA
Rfam family: Bacterial small subunit ribosomal RNA
Source: RNAcentral
GAUGAACGCUGGCGGCGUGCCUAAUACAUGCAAGUCGAGCGAACAGACGAGGAGCUUGCUCCUCUGACGUUAGCGGCGGACGGGUGAGUAACACGUGGAUAACCUACCUAUAAGACUGGGAUGACUUCGGGAAACCGGAGCUAAUACCGGAUAAUAUAUUGAACCGCAUGGUUCAAUAGUGAAAGACGGUUUUGCUGUCACUUAUAGAUGGAUCCGCGCCGCAUUAGCUAGUUGGUAAGGUAACGGCUUACCAAGGCAACGAUGCGUAGCCGACCAGAGAGGGUGAUCGGCCACACUGGAACUGAGACACGGUCCAGACUCCUACGGGAGGCAGCAGUAGGGAAUCUUCCGCAAUGGGCGAAAGCCUGACGGAGCAACGCCGCGUGAGUGAUGAAGGUCUUCGGAUCGUAAAACUCUGUUAUUAGGGAAGAACAAAUGUGUAAGUAACUAUGCACGUCUUGACGGUACCUAAUCAGAAAGCCACGGCUAACUACGUGCCAGCAGCCGCAGUAA